AGGAAGGGCGCAUUCACUGAACGUCCUCCGUUCCGUCUAUUCUCAGGGCCCACCGGGCAGGACCACCGAGCAAGGCCUUGGAAAACCAGAGAGAUUAGAGCGUAGAAUGGGGAAAUGGAGAGAGAACCUGAAAGAGCCCCAAACUCGAGGACCUAUUGCUCCCCAAGAAUAACAUCUUCCAGAAGAACUAGACAGAAAACUAGGCGUCUGGGAACUCUGAAAUCCUUGGAGGAGUAGCAUCAUCAUGACCCUCUGUGUUCCUUUUGGCAAAGGACUUGCUCCCAUUGUUUGCUUGUUCAAUUGUCUGUCUGUUAAAUAAAUAAAACCCUUUUCCUAUAUCUUUAAA
RNAcentral lists this long non-coding RNA (346 nucleotides) under Pan troglodytes (chimpanzee). Its description in RNAcentral is "lincRNA". The record is from RNAcentral. Lineage: Eukaryota; Metazoa; Chordata; Mammalia; Primates; Hominidae.